AUAGCCCAUAGUGUUUGGUUGGUAGAUAUGACACUAUGUCCCCCAGAGGGAAAGUAGAAGUUUCUAAUCUAAUCUCAUUGCUCUCAGAUACACUUGGUGACCUUUACUGAAGCUAUGUGGUUUCAUAACAGUAUUGUACAUCAUGAUUGCUGAGGAAAUGUUACAUUUAUGCCUUAACUAUUUGUCUCCACCCUCCUGUAUCCUAUUGACUGUUCCAUAUUCUUCUGGCUAUCAGUUGACUCUGAAUGAACUUACCAUCCAUCUGUCCCAGCACUUCUCUCAAGGGGUGAACGUAGAGGACUCCCUGCACCCCUGUGUAGACACCCCCUGUGCCAACAGGGGCAUCUGCCGCCCCAAACAGGCCUUGUAUUAGUGUGACUAUUAGGGCUUGCAAGUUAAGCAUUUCAUUGUACUUGUGCAUGACAAAUACAACUUGAACUUGACUGCCCCCUGGGGUACACUGACAAGCACUGCCUGCAAGGUGAGACUUCUCACGCUUAUACUUUAUAAUGCAUGAGUAUCAAAGGAGUCUGGUGGGAGGAGCUAUAACAGGACAGGCUAAUUAUAAUGGCUGGAAUGGAAUUAAUCGAAUGGAUCAAUAAUGUGGUUUCCAUAUAUUUCAUGUUUGAUACCGUUCCAUUUAUUCCAUUGCAGCCAUUACAAUGAGUUCGUCCUCCUAUAGCUUAUUCCACCAGCCUCCACUGGUGUGUAUGCUGCAUGCACUCAUCUCUAGUCUACCCACCUCUCGCCCUCUCUCUCUCUCUCUCUCCCGCUCUCUCCUCCCUCUCUUCUUGGCCCAUGGUAUUGCUGAGCAGAAUGUGAGACUUACUGCAUGAACUGUAAAUCUCACUGUGUGUCAUGUUGUUCAGAUGCAUAAUUCUACGAUAUCAUAUUAUAAGAAUGAGCAGGCAUGAAUUGAUAACAGCAUGUGAAAGCAUGUGGCAUUUACUGGUAAUUGGAAGCAUUCUAUUGAUUGUUUUCUGUUGCCUAGUUGCCUACAACUGAAUGAAUCUGUCCAUUGUAAAAGUUGUAGUGUCGUCUAGUGGACAUUGUAGGUAAGGGCAACUUCCCCUUUAUAUCCUCUUGUGACAUAGACCACUGAGAUUGCAGUUUAUUGGAUGAAGGUGACUCAAUUACAACAAGGACAUUUUUAAGAGGUAUGCCCCUUCGAUUUUCCUAUUUCAUUAUGAAUCAACAAGCCUUAUCAGUAGACCCAAAUAAGUCUUAUCUCCUCUACUAUCUCUGUAUCAGGGUGUUUUAAAAUUUUUUAUUUAACCUUUAUUUAACUACGCAAGUUAGUUAAAAACAAAUUCUUAUUUAUAGACUCAUUUAUAGGGGAGACUCAUUAACAGGUGGGACUCAUUUAUAGGGGAGACUCAUUAACAGGUGGGACUCAUUUAUAGGGGAGACUCAUUAACAGGUGGGACUCAUUUAUAGGGGAGACUCAUUAACAGGUGGGACUCAUUUAUAGGGGAGACUCAUUAACAGGUGGGACUCAUUUAUAGGGGAGACUCAUUAACAGGUGGGACUCAUUUAUAGGGGAGACUCAUUAACAGGUGGGACUCAUUUAUAGGGGAGACUCAUUAACAGGUGGGACUCAUUUAUAGGGGAGACUCAUUAACAGGUGGGACUCAUUUAUAGGGAGACUCAUUAACAGGUCAGACCAUUAGUCUGUUAAUUAUUACGCUAAUAUUUACUGUAUGUCAUUGAUGGAACCCAAACAAUUAAGAUGGAUGGUUAACUUGCAAAUAUUGUAUUAUUUCUGGUGUUUUACUGUAAAGAAUGUCCAUUGAUUUGUUAUAUGGAAUUCCCUUAUUAAUAGAAGAGUGAGAUAUGGAACCCCUCUAGAAUGUCUCUGUGCCUGAUACUGAGGUGGGGUGUGGGGGUUUGAGCCAACAGAGACUGUACUUUCUCAUAAAGCUGGGAUCUUUUAAUGUAGACUGUACUAUAUUGACUCUGUUUUACAAAUCUUUUAUUGAGAGUAUUUUAACUUUUUGUAUUGUUUGUUGGUUUGGCAAUGCCACUGUCUGCCAGAGAAAAAUGUUGAGAAGGAUUAUUACCACAGGAAGUAAGGUACUUGGAGUCAAACAGUCGGGCCUGGAUGAGAUCUUUAAGGUCAGGGCCCUCCGUAAGGCUCACAAAAUCAUUUUAGACCCAAGCCACCCCCUGUACCCGGACAUUGAACUACUCCCCUCUGGGCGCAGGUAUAGGGCACCCCUCAGCAGGAAAAACAGAACUAGACAAUAAUUUGUGCCAGGUGUGAUAUCCCUCCUAAGUAGCUCGGGCUAAUGUUCCUAUCGACUCCGUAAGGCCAGCAGGCUAGUCUUUAAAAAAAAAAGGUUUUAUUUCUUUAUUUAUUAUAAUUAUUAUUAUAUAUUUUUUUAUUGGUAUGUAACUGUUAUGAAAGUUGUAUUGUCAAUUUUGUUUUGUAUUUAAACGCCACUUUAAAUGUGUACAUGACACUGCAACAAUAAUUUCCCCAUGGGGACAAUAAAGUCAGUAAGUAAGGAAGUAAGUACUGUAACAUACUGCUAC
This 2535-nucleotide long non-coding RNA is filed under the name Salmo salar (Atlantic salmon). RNAcentral's name for it is "lncRNA (ENSSSAG00000118053.1)". The record is from RNAcentral. Lineage: Eukaryota; Metazoa; Chordata; Actinopteri; Salmoniformes; Salmonidae.